This 270-nucleotide ribosomal RNA is filed under the name Escherichia coli. RNAcentral describes it as "partial 16S ribosomal RNA". It matches the Rfam family "Bacterial small subunit ribosomal RNA", at positions 993 to 1263 of the family's 1533-position model. Lineage: Bacteria; Pseudomonadati; Pseudomonadota; Gammaproteobacteria; Enterobacterales; Enterobacteriaceae. The record is from RNAcentral.
GAAGUUUUCAGAGAUGAGAAUGUGCCUUCGGGAACCGUGAGACAGGUGCUGCAUGGCUGUCGUCAGCUCGUGUUGUGAAAUGUUGGGUUAAGUCCCGCAACGAGCGCAACCCUUAUCCUUUGUUGCCAGCGGUCCGGCCGGGAACUCAAAGGAGACUGCCAGUGAUAAACUGGAGGAAGGUGGGGAUGACGUCAAGUCAUCAUGGCCCUUACGACCAGGGCUACACACGUGCUACAAUGGCGCAUACAAAGAGAAGCGACCUCGCGAGAG